UGGCCCGUUGUGAUAAAUUUUUCUGUACCCCUGAUUUUUUCUGUACCCCCUCGGGUUUUGGCUAAUGGUUUUUAGACUUGGUUAUAUGUCCGGAACUUCAAAAGUCCAUAAUGGUAGAUUGACAGUGACUAUACUUUUUUGCAAAAGAGAAGAAGAACAUGGCUUUUUCAUAUGUUGCACAGAUCAUUUUCCAUAAUAAACUUAUGUUUCCUUUGUGCAGCUUGGAUUAUUCUAAUAUCACUAAAUGGAACAGACACUAACUAAUAACAAAAGCAAUAGACGGUAGUGCUUGCUCCAGCUUUCUUAUAUAUAAAAAAACUAAGAAGGCUGGACAGUCAAUUUUGCUGACAAAACUGAUAGUGAGAGAAUUAGUGAACAAGUAUCCUUGCAACAAGUGAAGUUUAAAAACUUCAAUUCACGUCGACUUGUCCACAUAAAGAGUGAUGUCAAUUAAAGCUCUGUUAGAAGUUAUUGGUGGAAAAUGUGUCAAUCGUUAACUCAAAACUUAACCUAUUUCAACCGAAACUAAACAGAAAGGAUCCAGCUAUCGAGCUUUACCACUUGGCUAGGAUGAAGAUCUUAGCCUGGACACGAAUAUCCAAUAUUCUAAUCUAACUAAAGGUGAAAGAAGAACAUUAGAACACUGCGCCAAAUGGUACUUCUAUUGUUUCAAGGAGGCUGAUAAAGGUUCAACGGUAGUCUAUUUACAAGAAGCCGAGCUACAACUUGGUGACGAAAAUGUAUAUAAAAAGGUUGUGUUGUUGGAAAAGUUACAGGAAGAUAUACUUUAGAUUAGUUUCUGGAUAAGAAUUUCAGGCUGCCCCGUAACUUUCAAUUGGGAAUUGUAAAGUUGUGUAUUUAAAAAACGCAGCUUUUACAACUUUUAAUAGAAAUUCUAAGUUGAAAGUAUUUAAAAUUGUUGUACAGUGGAAUCCCACUGAAGUGAACAUCAUCGGUGCAAGAAAAGUUGUUGAAACGCGUAGAUACUGCACAUAAUAGAAAUUACAGCAAUUUCGCAAGCGUAAUAUUAGAGAUACGGGGUUAUUUUUUUAACCCACACCAAAAAGUCAAGUUUAGUAAAGAGACGGGAAUAUUAAAGAUGCGGGAAUGAUAGAGCAUAAAUACGAUAUAUAUAACCUUUCUUCAGCAAUUAAUUUGUCGUUAUUCGUUUGCUGACUAGUUUUGUCUUGUUUCGGGUUAAAAUUUUUGGAAAAAAGUUUUCGCAUUAAAUAACGGUCGAAUCGAUCGCUAGUCUAUAUUUGUUACACCAAAUUUGGAAAGUUGUACCACCUAUUUUAAUUAACACACCCCUCAUUAAAGAAUUGUAACUUCCGCCUAUACUUUUCAGAACAAUUCAAGCGUUGUGUUUCACGAAUGUCUUUGAUUCGACUCCCUCCCCCCAAAUAUUACCAAUUCCCUUUCACCCUCUUUCAUCCAUCUGAAUAAAAAUUCACCUACAUAAUUUAUAAACACCAACUCCAACUAUCGAUUUGAAGGUAAUUAACAACCCCUUCUUAGUUAGCCCCCUCUUUACAAUAUGGUUAUGAAAAGUAACUUUAAAAAGAAAGACUCUGGCACUUAUAGACUAGACGUUCGUAAUGUUCUGAAAUUGUAGUUUACUUUAUUCGGAUAUUGACUUGAGCUAUGGCGGUAAUUUAUUUGUGUAUAUAUGUCUAGAAAUACGUUUUUUUUUUUGCUACGAGUAACGUUUCAGAUAGAAUUAGUAUAAAAUAAUUUUAUGAGGAAAUUGAAUUUACUGACUUUGUAUUCGACUGAGGCAUGGAGGUAUAGAAGGUAUAACAUCCAUGACUGAUGUAACGAGCAAAAUAAGAAGAUAUAUUUUUCAAGAAACAUGUGAUUUGAAUUGCA
Molecule: long non-coding RNA, 1869 nt
Organism: Hydractinia symbiolongicarpus
Lineage: Eukaryota; Metazoa; Cnidaria; Hydrozoa; Anthoathecata; Hydractiniidae
Exons: 3
Source: RefSeq, a predicted model, not a curated record